UACGUAGGUGGCAAGCGUUGUCCGGAAUUAUUGGGCGUAAAGCGCGCGCAGGCGGUCCUUUAAGUCUGAUGUGAAAGCCCACGGCUCAACCGUGGAGGGUCAUUGGAAACUGGGGGACUUGAGUACAGAAGAGAAGAGUGGAAUUCCACGUGUAGCGGUGAAAUGCGUAGAGAUGUGGAGAACACCAGUGGCGGAAGGCGCUCUUUGGUCUGUAACUGACGCUGAGGCGCGAAAGCGUGGGGAGCAAACAGGAUAGAA
This 258-nucleotide ribosomal RNA is filed under the name uncultured bacterium. RNAcentral describes it as "partial 16S ribosomal RNA". It matches the Rfam family "Bacterial small subunit ribosomal RNA", at positions 524 to 782 of the family's 1533-position model. The record is from RNAcentral.